RNAcentral lists this ribosomal RNA (253 nucleotides) under uncultured bacterium. RNAcentral describes it as "partial 16S ribosomal RNA". It matches the Rfam family "Bacterial small subunit ribosomal RNA", at positions 524 to 776 of the family's 1533-position model. The record is from RNAcentral.
UACGUAGGGUGCAAGCGUUGCCCGGAAUUAUUGGGCGUAAAGAGCUCGUAGGCGGUUUGUCGCGUCUGCUGUGAAAACUCGGGGCUUAACUCCGGGCCUGCAGUGGGUACGGGCAGACUAGAGUGCGGUAGGGGAGACUGGAAUUCCUGGUGUAGCGGUGAAAUGCGCAGAUAUCAGGAGGAACACCGGUGGCGAAGGCGGUUCUCUGGGCAUUACCUGACGCUGAGGAGCGAAAGUGUGGGGAGCGAACAGG